RNAcentral lists this ribosomal RNA (433 nucleotides) under uncultured bacterium. RNAcentral describes it as "partial 16S ribosomal RNA". It matches the Rfam family "Bacterial small subunit ribosomal RNA", at positions 29 to 507 of the family's 1533-position model. The record is from RNAcentral.
AACGAACGCUGGCGGCAUGCCUAACACAUGCAAGUCGAACGAGACCUUCGGGUCUAGUGGCGCACGGGUGCGUAACGCGUGGGAACCUGCCCUUAGGUUCGGAAUAACUCCCCGAAAGGGGUGCUAAUACCGGAUAAUGUCUUCGGACCACAGAUUUAUCGCCUUUGGAUGGGCCCGCGUUGGAUUAGCUUGUUGGUAGGGUAAAAGCCUACCAAGGCGACGAUACAUAGCUGGUCUGAGAGGAUGAUCAGCCACACUGGGACUGGGACACGGCCCAGACUACUACGGGAGGCAGCAGUGGGGAAUAUUGGACAAUGGGCGAAAGCCUGAUCCAGCAAUGCCGCGUGAGUGAUGAAGGCCUUAGAGUUGUAAAGCUCUUUUACCCGGGAUGAUAAUGACAGUACCGGGAGAAUAAGCUCCGGCUAACUCCGUG